GAUUCCGGGUCAAUCACAGGGCGCCAGUAGCCGUUUCCGGUUCCGGUGUAAACGGGCCCGGCUUUGAGCGGCAGACCCUGCAGGUGACGCUGCGGAGCGGAGGCCCCGGCGGCAUGAAUCGCCCGAAGCCGGCCACGGUUCGCCGUCCCAGCGCGGUGCCCAAGCCCUCGGCUCAUCCUCCACCAGGAGAUUUUAUUGCCUUGGGGUCGAAAGGCCAGGCCAAUGACUCUAAAGCUGCUGUCACACUGCUUAAGCCAGCCCCAGCUGGAUUGCCCUCUGAGCGUAAACGGGAGGGGUCCGCUGCUUUAUCUAGUGCAUCCAGCCUGACGGGAUUGACCAAACGCCCCAAACUCUGCUCCACGCCUCCCCUGAGUGCCCUAGGACGUCUGGCAGAGGCUGCAGUGGCUGAGAAACGGGCCAUUUCACCCUCAAUAAAGGAACCGUCUGUGAUUCCAAUUGAAGUUGUCCCCACGGUGCUGGUGGAUGAGAUUGAAGCAGCUGAGGCAGAGGGCAAUGAUGACCGCAUUGAGGGGGUGCUGUGUGGAGCUGCGAAGCAGCUGAAAAUGAACAGAGCCAAGCCUGAUCCCACGUUGUACUUGAGUCUGAUGUAUCUGGCAAAAAUCAAACCCAAUAUAUUUGCCACCGAGGGGGUUAUUGAGGCACUGUGUAGCCUCCUCCGGCGAGAUGCCUCCAUCAACUUCAAAGCCAAAGGGAACAGCCUGGUGUCCGUCUUGGCCUGUAACCUUCUUAUGGCGGCUUACGAGGAGGACGAGAACUGGCCAGAGAUCUUUGUCAAGGUUUACAUUGAGGACUCGCUUGGAGAGCGCAUCUGGGUGGACAGCCCUCACUGCAAGACGUUUGUGGAUAACAUCCAGACAGCCUUCAGUACAAAGAUGCCCCCGAAGAGCAUGCUGUUGCAUGGGGAAGUUGGCCGCAGUGGAGGUGAUCUUAGUGCAGGGAGUAGCCCCCACCCCGCCAUGGCAGAGGAGGAAGAUAGCCAGAGUGAGUUGCUGAUUGCAGAGGAGAAGAUGAGUCCAGAGCAGGAGGGACAGCUUAUGCCCAGAUACGAAGACCUCGCGGAGAGUGUGGAAGAAUAUGUCUUGGACAUGCUACGGGACCAGCUCAACCGGCGGCAGCCAAUGGAUAACGUCUCCAGGAACCUCCUUCGACUGCUGACGGCUACUUGUGGCUAUAAAGAGGUCCGGCUGAUGGCUGUUCAGAGGCUUGAGAUGUGGUUGCAGAACCCAAAGCUGACCAGACCAGCCCAGGACUUGCUAAUGUCAGUCUGUAUGAACUGCAACACACAUGGGUCUGAGGACAUGGAAGUCAUUUCCAACCUGAUCAAAAUCCGUCUCAAACCCAAAGUCCUUCUCAACCACUACAUGUUGUGUGUCAGAGAGCUGCUGAAUGCUCACAGGGACAACCUGGGUACCAUGGUCAAGUUUGUGAUUUUCAAUGAACUUUCAAAUGCAAGAAACCCCAACAACAUGCAGAUUCUCUACACAGUGCUACAGCACAGCUCCGAGCUAGCACCAAAGUUCCUGGCGAUGGUGUUCCAGGAUUUGCUGACUAAUAAGGAUGAUUACCUGCGGGCCUCGCGGGCACUGCUGCGAGAGAUCAUCAAACAGACGAAACAUGAGAUCAACUUCCAGGCUUUCUGCUUGGGGCUCAUGCAGGAGCGGAAGGAGGCCCAGUAUACAGACAUGGAAUUCAAGGAGCGGUUUGUCAUCCACAUAACUGACCUGCUGGCUGUCUCCAUGAUGCUCGGCAUCACGGCUCAGGUGAAGGAGGCUGGGAUUGCAUGGGACAAAGGAGAGAAAAAGAACUUGGAGGUGCUGCGUUCCUUCCAGAACCAGAUUGCUGCCAUCCAGCGAGAUGCUGUCUGGUGGCUCCACACAGUGGUUCCAUCUAUCAGCAAACUGGCUCCGAAGGACUACGUGCACUGUCUUCACAAGGUGCUGUUCACAGAGCAGCCAGAGACCUACUACAAGUGGGACAACUGGCCCCCUGAGAGUGACCGCAACUUCUUCCUGCGACUCUGCUCUGAGGUGCCUAUCCUUGAAGACACGCUCAUGCGGAUCCUUGUCAUUGGUUUGUCACGGUCUCCCCUUGGCCCUGCUGAUGCCAUGGAGCUUGCUGACCACUUGGUGAAGCGGGCGGCAGCUGUGCAAGCAGACGAUGUAGAGGUCCUGAGGGUGGAGAGAAUCCAGCUGAUCGAUGCAGUCUUAAAUCUGUGUACUUACCAUCAUCCGGAGAACAUCCAGCUGCCCCCAGGGUAUCAGCCUCCAAAUCUAGCCAUCUCUACCCUCUACUGGAAGGCUUGGCCUCUCCUUCUGGUAGUGGCCGCAUUCAACCCUGAAAACAUUGGGUUGGCUGCCUGGGAGGAGUAUCCCACACUAAAGAUGCUCAUGGAAAUGGUCAUGACUAAUAAUUACUCCUAUCCCCCCUGCACUCUGACGGAUGAGGAGACCCGCACAGAGAUGAUUAAUCGUGAGCUCCAAAUAUCCCAGCGGGAAAAGCAGGAAAUUCUUGCAUUUGAGGGUCAUCUGGCUGCUGCAUCUACAAAGCAGACUAUUACAGAGAGCAGCAGCCUCUUGCUGUCCCAGCUCACCAGUCUGGACCCCCAGGGCCCCCCACGCAGACCUCCGCCACAUGUCCUGGAGCAGGUGAAAAGCCUAAAUCAGUCCCUCCGCUUAGGACAUCUCCUGUGCCGCAGCCGCCACCCAGACUUUCUCCUCAACAUCAUUCAGAGGCAGGCCUCGUCCCAAUCAAUGCCAUGGCUAGCAGACCUGGUUCAGUCCAGUGAGGGCUCCUUGGAUGUUCUUCCAGUGCAAUGUCUUUGUGAGUUCCUGCUGCAUGAUGCUGCUGAUGAAUCUGCCUCAGGCGAGGAAGAGGAGGAGGGAGAAAGUAAAGAGCAGCGUGCCAAGAAACGUCAGAGACAGCAGAAGCAGAGGCAGCUGCUUGGGCGCCUGCAGGACUUGCUCCUGGGCCCCAGAGCUGAUGAGCAGACCACUUGUGAGGUGUUGGACUACUUCUUGCGGCGCCUCAGUUCCUCUCAGGUGGCCUCCCGAGUGCUGGCCAUGAAGGGUCUGUCCUUGGUGCUGUCGGAAGGGGGAUUGCGUGAUAGAGAGGAAAAAGAGCACCCUAUGGAGGAAGAUUCUGGUGACUCUGAGCUCCUGCAGGGAUACCAGUGGCUGCUAAGAGACCUGCCAAGGCUGCCGUUGUUUGACAGUGUUAGGGCAACUACAUCUAUUGCCUUGCAACAGGCCAUCCACAUGGAGACCGAUCCUCAGACCAUCAGUGCUUAUUUGGUGUACCUAUCCCAGCACGCCCCCAUAGAGGAUCAGGGGCAGCACAAUGACCUCUCUCUGGAUGUGGCCAGGCUCAUAGUGGAACGCUCCACCAUCAUGUCUCAUCUCUUCUCGAAACUCUCAUACUGUGCUGAGUCAGAGGCAGUGCUGGUUGCUCUGCUCUCCAUCUUCUCUUGCUACGUUAAGCGCAUGCGCCAGAGCAAGGAAGGGGAGGAGGUGUACAGCUGGUCUGAGUCCCAGGAUCAGGUGUUCCUUCGCUGGAGUAGUGGGGAAACAGCCACUAUGCACAUUCUUGUGGUCCAUGCGAUGGUCAUUCUGUUGACACUGGGACCACCUCAAGCAGGGGAAGGUGACUUUUGUGCCUUGCUGGACAUUUGGUUCCCAGAGAAGAAGCCCCUCCCCACUGCCUUUCUUGUUGACACUUCAGAGGAGGCCCUGCUGCUUCCUGACUGGCUGAAGCUGCGCAUGAUCCGCUCCGAGGUCCCUCGCCUAGUGGAUGCAGCACUGCAGGAUCUGGAACCGCAGCAACUGCUUCUCUUUGUUCAGUCCUUUGGGAUCCCAGUCUCCAGUAUGAGUAAACUCCUGCAGUACCUGGAUCAGGCAGUGUCUCACGACCCACAGACGCUGGAGCAGAACAUCAUGGACAAGAAUUACAUGGCUCAUCUUGUGGAGGUUCAGCAUGAGAGAGGAGCUACGGGGGGGCAGACCUUCCACUCUCUGCUCACCACUUCCCUGCCAGCAUGCCGAGAUGGUGCUGACACUCCAAAGCCCAAAACUAGUCCUGAGACCCCACAAGGACAGAGUAGGAUCCGGGCGUUGACUCAGAUCCGGGUCCUGGGUCCUGAGGAUGACCUGGCGGGCAUGUUUCUUCAGCUGUUCCCACUGAACCCGGAUCCCCGGUGGCAGAAUUCGAACCCGCGCCCCAUCUCCCUGGCGUUACAGCAGGCACUGGGUCAGGAAUUGGCUCGCAUCCGCCAAGGGAACACACAGGUGACAGGGAUUUCAGUGCGUCUUCUCCAGGCAGUGGCAGCAUUGAUGAACUCUCCACAUAGCGGGGCUCUGGUGAUGGCCAUGCACCGAAACCACUUUAUCUCCUGCCCACUGCUGCGUCAGCUGUGCCAGUACCAGCGCUGCGUACCCCAAGACACCGCCUUCUCCUCGCUCUUCUUUAAAGUCCUCAUGCAGAUGCUGCAAUGGCUGGAGAAUCCUGCUGUGGAAGAUGGUCCUCUGCGUGCUCAGCUCAAGUCCUUUGCUGUGCAGUACUCUUCAAGGCAUAGGAUCAGUGAUGUUCGAGGUGGGUUCCUGCACCUGGCAGAAGCACUGGCAUUCCGUCGUGACCCUGAUGUGAUCAGCUCCACUGUGCGAGCCAUCAUGGCAACCCUGAAAUCUGGAGAGAAGUGUAAUGUGGAGCCAGAACUCAUCAGCAAAGUCCUUCAAGGUCUGAUUGAAACACAGUCUCCUUACAUGGAGGAGCUUCUGACUGUCCUCUUCUCGGUUACCAUUGAGACCACAGCCAGGUUCCCUGCCAUGAGACCAAUUGCUGUGGUGAGCUCUCUGCUGCUCCAGGAGAAAGAGGAGACACCUGUGAAGAAGGAGUUGGAUAGCAGCAGUGCUGAAGCUGCUCGUCUAGGGCCCUCCUCGGGCCUUCUCAAUGACUGGCUGGAGAUGCUGGACCCUGAAGUAAUCAGCAGCUGCCCAGACCUCCAGCAAAAGUUGCUGUUCUCCUGGAACACGACUAAAGGUUAUUCUGGGUCUCAGGUGCCCUCUUUUCGCCCAUAUCUGUUGGCUCUCCUAACUCACCAGUCCAGCUGGACAACAUUGCACCAGUGCAUCAGGAUUCUGCUUUGCAAAAACCGGGAGCAAAGGUUUGACCCGACUGCAUCCUUAGAUUUCUUGUGGGCCUGUAUUCACAUCCCUCGGAUCUGGCAGGGAAGGGACCAGAGAACUCCUCAGAAACGUCGAGAGGAGUUCGUGCUCCAGUUAAAGGCAUCAGAGUUGAUCAGUUUGGUUGAGCUGAUCUUGGCUGAGUCCGAAACCAGAAGCCAGAAUACAGAGGAAGCCUCCUGCACGCUCAUCCAAUCACGGUUACCCCUGUUGCUCAGCUGUUGUCAUGGAGACCUAGAGAGUAUUAAAAAAGUAACAGAGUAUCUGACGGGCUGUAUCCAGCAGUGGGGCAGCAGCUCAGUGGGAAAACGCUGCCAGGACCUUCUUCUGCAGCUCUACCUGCAGCUGCCGGAGCUCCUUGUGCCCAUGCCUGAGACACUGCUGACCAGGGAAGGGGCUGCAGACAGCAGUACCUGCAAACUUGAUGCCCUGGUUCACAGAUUCAUCACCCUCCUCGCAGAAGCCAGCGAUUCCAAGUCAGCUGAGAGCCGUGUGUGGGAUGCCAACAUGGCAUGCAGGAAGCUAGCUGUGGCUCACCCCAUCCUUCUGCUUAGACACUUGCCAAUGAUCGCAGCUCUGCUUCAUGGGCGGGUACAUCUCAAUUUCCAGGAGUUUCGGCAACAGAACCACCUGACUUUCUUCAUCCAUGUCCUGGGGAUCCUGGAGCUGCUUCAGCCACAGGUGUUCCAGAGUGAGCACCAGGGGGCGCUAUGGGACUGUCUUCUCUCCUUCAUUCGCCUGCUACUGAAUUACAGGAAGUCCUCACGUCAUCUGGCUGCCUUCAUUACCAAAUUCGUCCAGUUCAUUCACAAGUACAUCACGUGCAAUGCCCAGGCUGCUGUGUCUUUCCUGCAGAAACAUUCUGACCCGCUCCAUGACCUGUCAUCAGAUAACAGUGACCUAGUGAUGCUGAAAUCUCUCCUGGCUGGGCUAAGCUUGCCCAGUAAGAGUGGUGUCUUGGACAGAGGCUCUGAAGAAGAAAAGGAUGAUGAAGCAGCUGCCGGCUCUCUGCCCCUGGUCAGUGUGUCCCUCUUCACUCCCCUCACUCCAGCGGAAAUGGCCCCAUACAUGAAGAGACUCUCCAGGGGCCAGACUGUGGAGGAUAUCCUGGAGGUGCUGAGUGAUGUUGAUGAGAUGUCCAGACGGAGACCAGAAAUUCUCUCCUUUUUUGCUACUAACCUGCAAAGAUUGAUGAGCUCUUCAGAAGAGUCCUGCCGGAAUCUGGCCUUCAGCCUGGCUCUGCGCUCAAUUCAGAACAACCCCAGCAUUGCUGCUGAUUUCCUCCCCACUUUCAUGUACUGCCUUGGCAGCCGAGACUUUGAGGUGGUGCAGACAGCGCUGAGAAACCUUCCUGAAUACACCCUUCUCUGCCAAGGUGCAGCAGCUCUGCUCGUGUCCCUAGUUGGAGGAUGUUCGGCUCAGAAUACAUGGUGUCCUCGCUCCCGGCUGCAUCUCGCUUCUACGGCCCUGCUUUUUCAGCCCAGCUCGCAUCCGCUCCUGUCUGCAGCCUCUUCCUCCCAGCUCCCCUUUUCAGCUACCAGCUCUUCCAGCCCUGCAGCCCUCCGGAGCCCUGCAAACAAGCACUGCUGCUGGCAAGCCAAGAUGCAGGUUUGGGGGAGCUGGGGGACUUCUCAGAGGAAGCUCGCCCGCAGAAGCAGAGACGAGCCCGAGCCAAUUACAGCAGCUGGCAGCUGGAGGAGCUGGAAUCAGCCUUUGAGACCACGCGCUACCCUGACGUCUUCAUGAGGGAGGCCCUAGCCCUCCGGCUAGACCUGAUAGAGGCCAGGGUUCAGCCCUGUCGAUGUUCCAGCCCCAUUGGCACUGGUGCCCGAGGAACCCACCUCGGACCAGGGAAGGUUUGGUUCCAGAACCGCAGGGCGAAGCUGAGGAGACAACUGAAACUGCAGGGACGAGCUCUGGACCGAGCUCUCACUAGGGACUUGUCUGUCUCAGGACACAAGAAGCCCCAAGCCCCCCAGGAAAUCGAAGGUUCAAGUAAGAGCUCUAGAGUUGGAACACUGGAAGGAGACUCAGAUCACUGGCCAAGCACUGGCCCCAAAGGGCAGCCUCCUCCUGGACCUCCCCUGUGCAGGGGAGCUGAGGCCACCGGGGCGGCCACAGCCAGAGGAAAUUUGCUCCUGCAGCACCCCCAGCUUGUGGGUCAAGGCACAAGAGUAUGAGGCUGUAAUUGACCCCCACUGCAGCUCAGGAGCAGCCUGACUCAGAACCAGACCCAGCAGAGCUCUGGGCAUACAUGGAUAGUGCCUGAAACUGAUCCUGACAUCAGUCCCCCUUCCCGUACCUCUCCAACCUCUGGGCCUUGGACCUUUGCUCCCAAACAAAGACCGUAUCCAUUUCUUCAGGGGGCUAUAGUCACCAUGAAUGGAGCAGGGAGCAUCAGAGGCAUUAUAGGGGCUUCCCAAGCCCACUGUGGGCUGUUGUCCAGCCUUGUCCAUCUCUGAUCACCCUUGGUGCCUCCCUGUUUGGUAGCUGUUGCCUGAACUCCUUUCUCUCUGAUUGGCAUCUGCAUUACACUUCCCAGCACCUGCACUCAACUGGGACAACAGCAUGUGCAGAGACUUUGGGUCUAAGAUACCCUGGUUAAAAUCCUUCCAUAUUUGACCAGGGACAGACCCAUCCCCUUCUCCAGGCUUAUUUCUCAGGAUCCCUUCACUAGAACACAUGCAUUAGCGCAUCGUUAGCAGGGGGAUGUCACCUCUCUACUCUGGGUUGUCUUCUUCAAAUUAAGCUACUUUUGUCAUAGGCUCUGAUCCAAUGAGCCUGUGUUUGGUAGGGUUGCCAAUUUUGAUUGGAUGUAUUCUUGGAGGUUUCAUCACAUGACAUAAUCUUUAAUUAAAGAUUAAUUCCUGGAGAGUCCAGGGCAAUCCUGGAUGGUUGGCACACUGUUGGAUGCUUAGCUGGGGCCUUGGAGCCCUUAAGCAAUAGAAUGGGAGAAGUAUGAAGCAGGCAGACUCCUGCUCUUCACACUGUAGCAUGGCUCUUGGGACCAUGUGGAGUUCUCACCUGCUGUCCAGAGCCAGGUAGGGUGACCAGAUAUCCUGAUAUUGUCAGGCCUGUCCCAUUAUUAGGAGCUUUGUCUUAUAUAUGCAACUAUCCCUCCCCCUGGAAAAAAGUGUCCCGAUUUUUCACACUUGCUAUCUGGUCACCCUAGAGCUAGGGUCCCUUUCCAUUGUUCAACUCGGUGCCUUGUGGCUUCCUGGCUAUUCCCUCCCCUCUAUACCUCCCACGACCACUAGAGGGCCUUGAGGUUCUGCCAGGUGUUACAGCUCCUUAGAAGGUGCCUGAGCUGUGUGUGCUGGGGGAGACCAUGAUUCCUCUAAAUUCACCAGUGGCUGGACGUUUGUUUCUAGUCAAACGCUGUGAGGUGCUGAUGUGCGGGAGAUUCCAGAGGAGUGUCGUGAGGUGGGGGGUUGGUAUUAACCAGAGCUAGCUGCUUGACAGAGGCAUAGCAUCUGUCCUUCCAGUCCUCCCACUGUCUGUAAAGGGCUGCGGGGAGUAUCUGAAGCAGCUUCUGAGGAUGAGGAAGGGAAACAAAAGUCUGACUUCUCUGCAGUCUGGCUGAGCCAAUGUCAUUGGUCCUAGCAUAGGGCUAGUGGGCGGGGGGGAAGGUGAGCCCCUUUGUUCCCAUCGAUUCUUUCCCAUCAGUCUGGUCAAAAUGCUCCAGCAUAGCCACGGACAGAGGAGACAGACUGUACUCUGAGGGCCAAUUCUGCAUUGGCUGUGGGGACCAGAGACCGUUCCGUCCCCUAGAAGCUCAUGAUCCUGUGAUGAAUGGAAAGGGGCACGAGAAGUAAAGUAAGAUGAAAGAGGAAGCACAAUACAUUGCUCAACCAGACUCAAUAAGCUGGCACUCUUCCCUGUUCAUGGUCUCUACCACCAGCUUUCUGGUGUCAGAUGCGGAGCAGAAGUAUUGGAUUAUUAGAGAUGCUGCUGCCUUUAAAGUGAUUUGCUUUUUCUUCCUGUUGGAUGAUGAUCAAAUAAGUCCUAGAAAAUAAACUGGUUCAUAGAACUGUUCUAGAGUCACACGGUGUAUUGUGGAAACUCCCUCUCUGUCCCCCACUGAUCAGAGAGCAAAGACACUAGGCCAGGAAUAUGAGUCAGACGUGGGCUAAGAAUCAUGUGUUCCUGUCUCAAGUUGCCCAGCGCGCAGAAGUGAAGAAAUACGUUUCCAAAGGCAGAGCUGAUGGGAGAAAGGAAAGUUUUGAGCUGAGCAAUAACAACAGAGCAGCCUGUAACGCUACUUGCAGGAUACACAUGCUGUAUGAGUGGCAUUCAGUGCCCAAGAGCCAGAUGGCUGAAUGAUAACAGAGCUCAUUACCUGUGCACAUGUAAAUGCCCGUGUGCCCAUGUAUAGGGGAGUGUCUGUCAGCAUGCAUGUACUCAUAUGUUUGCAGGCCGGCACACACAUGUAAGCAUAUGAGCAAGCGUCUCCAUUCAGGGCCUUCUUUCAGGGGAAUCUGUGUGCUGGGGAAAAGAUUCACGCCAGAUUUUACUGCUAUUAUGGCCCUGCCUGUAUGAAUCUCUUCCCAGUCAAAAGGCUGCUCUCCGACAAUCGGCAGGGCAGGGGCUGUCUCUUGGUUGUGUGUUUGUACAGUGCCUAGCACAGAGGGGUCCUGGUGGGGCACUAUCUCCAUACAGCUAAUAAAUAAUAGGAACCAC
Caretta caretta (loggerhead turtle) is the source of this 9875-nucleotide non-coding RNA. Lineage: Eukaryota; Metazoa; Chordata; Testudines; Cheloniidae. The record is from RefSeq and is a predicted model, not a curated record.